GUGUCAGCAGCCGCGGUAAGACAGAGGAGGCUAGCGUUGUUCGGAAUCACUGGGCUUAAAGCGGGUGUAGGCGGCCUGGCAAGUGUCGUGUGAAAGCCCCCGGCUCAACCGGGGAAUUGCAUGGCAAACUGCCAGGCUUGAGGUCGGUAGGGGUGCCUGGAACUCUCGGUGGAGCGGUGAAAUGCGUAGAUAUCGAGAGGAACGCCGGAGGCGAAAGCGGGGCACUGGGCCGAUUCUGACGCUGAGACCCGAAAGCGUGGGGAGCAAACAGGAUGAGAUACCCUGGUAGUCCACGCCCUAAACGAUGCCUACUAGGUUGUGGAGGUUCUGACGCCUUCGCAGCCGAAGCAAAAGUGUUAAGUAGGCCGCCUGGGGAGUACGGUCGCAAGGCUAAAACUUAAAGGAAUUGACGGGG
RNAcentral lists this ribosomal RNA (415 nucleotides) under uncultured prokaryote. Its description in RNAcentral is "bacterial SSU rRNA". It matches the Rfam family "Bacterial small subunit ribosomal RNA", at positions 505 to 918 of the family's 1533-position model. The record is from RNAcentral.